GACGAACGCUGGCGGCGUGCUUAACACAUGCAAGUCGAACGGAAAGGCCCUGCUUUUGUGGGGUGCUCGAGUGGCGAACGGGUGAGUAACACGUGAGUAACCUGCCCUUGACUUUGGGAUAACUUCAGGAAACUGGGGCUAAUACCGGAUAGGAGCUCCUGCUGCAUGGUGGGGGUUGGAAAGUUUCGGCGGUUGGGGAUGGACUCGCGGCUUAUCAGCUUGUUGGUGGGGUAGUGGCUUACCAAGGCUUUGACGGGUAGCCGGCCUGGGAGGGUGACCGGCCACGUUGGGACUGAGAUACGGCCCAGACUCCUACGGGAGGCAGCAGUGGAGAAUAUUGCACAAUGGGCGGAAGCCUGAUGCAGCAACGCCGCGUGCGGGAUGACGGCCUGCGGGUUGUAAACCGCUUUCGCCUGUGACGAAGCGUGAGUGACGGUAAUGGGUAAAGAAGCACCGGCUAACUACGUG
Molecule: ribosomal RNA, 468 nt
Filed under: uncultured bacterium
Lineage: Bacteria
Description: partial 16S ribosomal RNA
Rfam family: Bacterial small subunit ribosomal RNA
Source: RNAcentral